Molecule: non-coding RNA, 83 nt
Organism: Stygiomarasmius scandens
Lineage: Eukaryota; Fungi; Basidiomycota; Agaricomycetes; Agaricales; Campanellaceae
Source: the annotation of a GenBank genome assembly
UCCCUGGUAGUAUAUCGGUUAGUACACGCGCCUGUCAUGCGACAACGCCGCGCGAAAGCUGGGUUCGACUCCCAGCCAGGGAG